RNAcentral lists this unclassified non-coding RNA (263 nucleotides) under uncultured fungus. RNAcentral's name for it is "partial contains 18S rRNA, ITS1, 5.8S rRNA, ITS2 and 28S rRNA". The record is from RNAcentral. Lineage: Eukaryota; Fungi.
AAGGAUCAUUAAAAAGUACCGAGUGGCUUUCACGCCACGGGUUAAUACACCGAUGCCUCCCGGGGCACGUGACGUGUAAAAUUACUUGUUGAAACACUUUAUUUAUGCUUCGGUUGCACCUUCCGUCUAAACCGCGGUCGGGUAAGUCGGCCGAUGGCACACUUUAAAAACUAGUUGAUGAAAUGUCAUGCUGUCUGAUACUGUUUAGUAUUUGAGAAAUCGAAUAUAUAUUAAAACUUUCAGCAACGGAUCUCUUGGUUCUC